CCUACGGGUGGCAGCAGUGAGGAAUAUUGGUCAAUGGGCGGGAGCCUGAACCAGCCAAGCCGCGUGAGGGAAGAAGGUACAGCGUAUCGUAAACCUCUUUUGUCAGGGAACAAAGGCGGGGACUAGUCCCCGGAUGAGGGUACCUGAAGAAAAAGCAUGGGCUAACCCCGUGACAGCAGCCGCGGUAAUCCGGAGGAUGCGAGCGUUAUCCGGAUUUAGUGGGUUUAAAGGGUGUGCAGGCGGCCUGUUAAGUCAGCGGUAAAAGCCCGGGGCCAAACCCCGGAGAGCCGUUGAAACUGGGGGGCUGGAGUGGGAGAGAAGUACGCGGAAUGCGCGGUGUAGCGGUGAAAUGCUUAGAGAUCGCGCAGAACACCGAUUGCGAAGGCAGCGUACCGGAUCCAGACUGACGCUGAGGCACGAAAGCGUGGGUAUCGAACAGGAUUAGAUACCCUAGUAGUC
RNAcentral lists this ribosomal RNA (459 nucleotides) under uncultured bacterium. Its description in RNAcentral is "partial 16S ribosomal RNA". It matches the Rfam family "Bacterial small subunit ribosomal RNA", at positions 338 to 795 of the family's 1533-position model. The record is from RNAcentral.